This 393-nucleotide ribosomal RNA is filed under the name uncultured bacterium. Its description in RNAcentral is "partial 16S ribosomal RNA". It matches the Rfam family "Bacterial small subunit ribosomal RNA", at positions 523 to 918 of the family's 1533-position model. The record is from RNAcentral.
AUACGGAGGAUGCGAGCGUUAUCCGGAUUUAUUGGGUUUAAAGGGUGCGUAGGCGGUUUGCUAAGCGGGAGGUGAAAUGCCGGCGCUCAACGUCGGAAGUGCCUCCCGAACUGGUGGACUGGAAUGACUCUGCCGUGGGCGGAAUGUGUAGUGUAGCGGUGAAAUGCUUAGAGAUUACACAGAACACCGAUUGCGAAGGCAUCUCCCGAAGGGUUGAUUGACGCUGAGGCACGAAAGGUUGGGGAUCAAACAGGAUUAGAUACCCUGGUAGUCCACGCAGUAAACGUUGAUGACUAACCGUCGGCGAUAGACCGCCGGUGGCCAAGCGAAAGCGAUAAGUCAUCCACCUGGGGAGUACGACCGCAAGGUUGAAACUCAAAUGAAUUGGCGGGG